Molecule: ribosomal RNA, 497 nt
Filed under: uncultured bacterium
Lineage: Bacteria
Description: partial 16S ribosomal RNA
Rfam family: Bacterial small subunit ribosomal RNA
Source: RNAcentral
GAUGAACGCUGGCGGCGUGCCUAAUACAUGCAAGUCGAGCGAACGGACGAGAAGCUUGCUUCUCUGAUGUUAGCGGCGGACGGGUGAGUAACACGUGGGUAACCUACCUAUAAGACUGGGAUAACUUCGGGAAACCGGAGCUAAUACCGGAUAAUAUUUUGUACCGCAUGGUUCAAAAGUGAAAGACGGUCUUGCUGUCACUUAUAGAUGGAUCCGCGCUGCAUUAGCUAGUUGGUAAGGUAACGGCUUACCAAGGCAACGAUGCAUAGCCGACCUGAGAGGGUGAUCGGCCACACUGGAACUGAGACACGGUCCAGACUCCUACGGGAGGCAGCAGUAGGGAAUCUUCCGCAAUGGGCGAAAGCCUGACGGAGCAACGCCGCGUGAGUGAUGAAGGUCUUCGGAUCGUAAAACUCUGUUAUUAGGGAAGAACAUAUGUGUAAGUAACUGUGCACAUCUUGACGGUACCUAAUCAGAAAGCCACGGCUAACUACGUG